Molecule: ribosomal RNA, 253 nt
Filed under: uncultured bacterium
Lineage: Bacteria
Description: partial 16S ribosomal RNA
Rfam family: Bacterial small subunit ribosomal RNA
Source: RNAcentral
UACGAAGGGGGCUAGCGUUGCUCGGAAUCACUGGGCGUAAAGGGUGCGUAGGCGGGUCUUUAAGUCAGGGGUGAAAUCCAGGAGCUCAACUCCAGAACUGCCUUUGAUACUGAAGAUCUUGAGUUCGGGAGAGGUGAGUGGAACUGCGAGUGUAGAGGUGAAAUUCGUAGAUAUUCGCAAGAACACCAGUGGCGAAGGCGGCUCACUGGCCCGAUACUGACGCUGAGGCACGAAAGCGUGGGGAGCAAACAGG